This 1003-nucleotide ribosomal RNA is filed under the name uncultured Burkholderia sp. RNAcentral describes it as "bacterial SSU rRNA". It matches the Rfam family "Bacterial small subunit ribosomal RNA", at positions 357 to 1358 of the family's 1533-position model. Lineage: Bacteria; Pseudomonadati; Pseudomonadota; Betaproteobacteria; Burkholderiales; Burkholderiaceae. The record is from RNAcentral.
GGGAAUUUUGGACAAUGGGCGAAAGUCUGAUCCAGCAAUGCCGCGUGUGUGAAGAAGGCCUUCGGGUUGUAAAGCACUUUUGUCCGGAAAGAAAUCCUUGGCUCUAAUACAGUCGGGGGAUGACGGUGCCGGAAGAAUAAGCACCGGCUAACUACGUGCCAGCAGCCGCGGUAAUACGUAGGGUGCGAGCGUUAAUCGGAAUUACUGGGCGUAAAGCGUGCGCAGGCGGUUUGCUAAGACCGAUGUGAAAUCCCCGGGCUCAACCUGGGAACUGCAUUGGUGACUGGCAGGCUAGAGUAUGGCAGAGGGGGGUAGAAUUCCACGUGUAGCAGUGAAAUGCGUAGAGAUGUGGAGGAAUACCGAUGGCGAAGGCAGCCCCCUGGGCCAAUACUGACGCUCAUGCACGAAAGCGUGGGGAGCAAACAGAAUUAGAUACCCUGGUAGUCCACGCCCUAAACGAUGUCAACUAGUUGUUGGGGAUUCAUUUCCUUAGUAACGUAGCUAACGCGUGAAGUUGACCGCCUGGGGAGUACGGUCGCAAGAUUAAAACUCAAAGGAAUUGACGGGGACCCGCACAAGCGGUGGAUGAUGUGGAUUAAUUCGAUGCAACGCGAAAAACCUUACCUACCCUUGACAUGGUCGGAAUCCUGCUGAGAGGUGGGAGUGCUCGAAAGAGAACCGGCGCACAGGUGCUGCAUGGCUGUCGUCAGCUCGUGUCGUGAGAUGUUGGGUUAAGUCCCGCAACGAGCGCAACCCUUGUCCUUAGUUGCUACGCAAGAGCACUCUAAGGAGACUGCCGGUGACAAACCGGAGGAAGGUGGGGAUGACGUCAAGUCCUCAUGGCCCUUAUGGGUAGGGCUUCACACGUCAUACAAUGGUCGGAACAGAGGGUUGCCAACCCGCGAGGGGGAGCUAAUCCCAGAAAACCGAUCGUAGUCCGGAUUGCACUCUGCAACUCGAGUGCAUGAAGCUGGAAUCGCUAGUAAUCGCGGAUCAGCAUGCC